AUGGCGGUCCGAAACCCAUACUUUUCACUUUCGAACGGGUGAGUGUACUAUCACUUUGGAAGACGUCUAUAUGUUACUCGGCUUACCUUUUGGAGGUUCAAUUGUUACGGCUCCUCCAA
This is a microRNA precursor of Medicago truncatula (barrel medic), 119 nucleotides long. It matches the Rfam family "MIR2679 microRNA precursor family". The record is from Rfam. Lineage: Eukaryota; Viridiplantae; Streptophyta; Magnoliopsida; Fabales; Fabaceae.